This is an RNA transcript of Pan troglodytes (chimpanzee), 1211 nucleotides long. RefSeq lists it as uncharacterized. The transcript has 6 exons. The record is from RefSeq and is a predicted model, not a curated record. Lineage: Eukaryota; Metazoa; Chordata; Mammalia; Primates; Hominidae.
AUGUCAGCUGGGGACACAGGGUCAUCUGAGGCUCCAAUGGGGAAGGAUCUGCCUCCAAAUUACAUGGUCGUUGGCAGCCUUCAGUUCCUUAUAGGAGGUUUCUUUCUUCAGCUGUCAGCUCCACAUCCAUCCCUGCUAAUUUCUUCACUGACUCCACCAUUUCUACAAGGGAAAAGCAAAAUCCCGGGUCCCUCAGACAAAAGGGCGGGUGGAGGAGGAGAAGCCGAGCCCAGAGUCCUGCUCCGGCGCCGCCCGAGCACCGCCCGCCUCAGCCGACCAGCCCCGUCGACUACUGGGCCUAGCCCAGACGAGAGGAGGGAAAGGCCGCAGAGGCCGCGAGGAUGCUGCGGAGGCGCGGGCGGCCGGCUGCCGCCUAGUUGUGCAGCCCAGACCAAGGAAAGAGAAGUGGGAGGAGCGGGGAGCUCGGCGUCCCGCGUCCUCCGCGGCUCAGGACGACUACGCUCGGCACGUCCGGGACCCUCCGGCCGUGGCGGUUGCAGCGCCAAAAGCUCGGGCCUCAGCCCCUGCCGCUGUGGUGACUCCGCCGCGCCUCGCCGUCGCUCCUGUCCCCGUCCUGCCCGCCGCCUCCGCCGCUGGGGACAUGUCCAACCCCGGAAGCCGGAGGAACGGGCCUGUCAAGCUGCACCUGACAGGUAUAUUGAAAAGUCUGAUUCAGUUACAAUCAGUGUAUGGAAUCACAAGAAGAUCCAUAAGAAACAAGGUGCUGGAUUUCUCCGUUGUGUUCAUCUUCUUUCCAGUGCCAUCAACCACCUCAAAGACACUGGUUCAGGAAGAGCUACAGCGGGGAGAAAAGGAUCUUUGCUGAUGUUGAACAUCAACAGGGAAACCAGGCCUGAGCGGAUUCGCACAUGACAUCUCCCUGGACACAGGGAUGGGUUCACAAAGGGGUUGGAGUCACUGAGAUGUGAGGAGAAGUCUGCUGGCAGCUUCUGGGACAUUACACCCUGGUGCUGAAGAGAUUGCUGCCGGAAGAGGCUGUCUUCCUGGGCAUGUUGUCAGCAAAUGGAAACCUAACAGAGACACUAUAAAGGCGACUAUUCCAAUGCUUCUGGAAUUGGUGCUGGGAGAACCCUGACAGAGCCCUUCUCCUCUGCUGUCUUGGAGGGCUGGGGGCGGGCCGACCCAGCACACAGGAGGCCUGCACCUCAGAUCCUCCUGGCUGAACCAGGCAGCAGAUCCACGCCGCGGGG